This 422-nucleotide ribosomal RNA is filed under the name uncultured Bacteroidota bacterium. Its description in RNAcentral is "uncultured Bacteroidetes bacterium partial 16S ribosomal RNA". It matches the Rfam family "Bacterial small subunit ribosomal RNA", at positions 355 to 774 of the family's 1533-position model. The record is from RNAcentral. Lineage: Bacteria; Pseudomonadati; Bacteroidota.
UAGGGAAUAUUGGGCAAUGGAGGCAACUCUGACCCAGCCAUGCCGCGUGAAGGAAGAAGGCCCUAUGGGUCGUAAACUUCUUUUAUCAUAGAGUAACCGUGGGGACGUGUCCCCACCUGCAAGUAUAUGAUGAAUAAGCACCGGCUAACUCCGUGCCAGCAGCCGCGGUAAUACGGAGGGUGCAAGCGUUAUCCGGAUUUAUUGGGUUUAAAGGGUGCGCAGGCGGAUCGAUAAGUCAGAGGUGAAAUUUUGCAGCUUAACUGCAACACUGCCUUUGAUACUGUCGGACUAGAGUUUAAUUGACGUUAUUGGAAUGAGAUGUGUAGCGGUGAAAUGCUUAGAUAUGUCUCAGAACGCCGAUCGUGAAGACAGGUAACGAAAUUAAUACUGACGCUCAGGCACGAAAGCGUGGGGAUCAAACA